This 193-nucleotide unclassified non-coding RNA is filed under the name plant metagenome. Its description in RNAcentral is "partial contains small subunit ribosomal RNA, internal transcribed spacer 1, and 5.8S ribosomal RNA". The record is from RNAcentral.
UCUCCGUUGGUGAACCAGCGGAGGGAUCAUUACAGGACUCGCAAGACUCCUUACACCCUGUGAACCUUACUGUAUACGCGUUGCUUCGGCGGGCCCGCCCGCCGGCGGCAUACCACAUUCUGUUUCUCUGCGUUGGCAUCUCGAGAAAAAAGCAAAUAAGUUAAAACUUUCAACAACGGAUCUCUUGGUUCUG